Molecule: ribosomal RNA, 468 nt
Filed under: uncultured bacterium
Lineage: Bacteria
Description: partial 16S ribosomal RNA
Rfam family: Bacterial small subunit ribosomal RNA
Source: RNAcentral
GACGAACGCUGGCGGCGUGCUUAACACAUGCAAGUCGAACGGAAAGGCCCUGCUUUUGUGGGGUGCUCGAGUGGCGAACGGGUGAGUAACACGUGAGUAACCUGCCCUUGACUUUGGGAUAACUUCAGGAAACUGGGGCUAAUACCGGAUAGGAGCUCCUGCUGCAUGGUGGUGGUUGGAAAGUUUCGGCGGUUGGGGAUGUACUCGCGGCUUAUCAGCUUGUUGGUGUGGUAGUGGCUUACCAAGGCUUUGACGGGUAGCCGGCCUGAGAGGGUGACCGGCCACAUUGGGACUGAGAUACGGACCAGAAGCCUACGGGAGGCAGCAGUCGGGAAUAUUGCACAAUGGGCGGAAGUCUGAUACAGCAACGCCGCGUGCGGGAUGACGGCCUUCGGGUUGUAAACAGAUUUCGCAUGUGACGAAGAGUGAGUGACGGUAAUGGGUAAAGAAGCAACGGCUAACUACGUG